Molecule: ribosomal RNA, 768 nt
Filed under: Scinax faivovichi
Lineage: Eukaryota; Metazoa; Chordata; Amphibia; Anura; Hylidae
Description: partial 16S ribosomal RNA
Rfam family: Bacterial large subunit ribosomal RNA
Source: RNAcentral
UUCGCCUGUUUAUCAAAAACAUCGCCUCUUGAUAUAAGUAUAAGAGGUCCCGCCUGCCCAGUGACCCCAGUUCAACGGCCGCGGUAUCCUAACCGCGCGAAGGUAGCGUAAUCACUUGUUCUUUAAAUUAGGACUAGUAUGAACGGCACCACGAGGGUUAUACUGUCUCCUUUUUCUAAUCAGUGAAACUAAUCUCCCCGUGAAGAAGCGGGGAUACAACUAUAAGACGAGAAGACCCUAUGGAGCUUAAAAUUUUAUUUCAACUGCCGCACCCAUAAAAGUUCCGACUACCCGUAAUUUACUUAGCAUUAUGAUUAUAAAUUUUAGGUUGGGGCGACCAUGGAGAAUAAAAAAACCUCCACAUUGAAUAUAGGCCUCUUAGCCUUGAGCCAAGAGCUACGACUCGAUGUACUAAAACAUUAACAUCCAUUGACCCAAUUAUUUGAUCAACGAACCAAGUUACCCUAGGGAUAACAGCGCAAUCCACUUUAAGAGCUCCUAUCGACAAGUGGGUUUACGACCUCGAUGUUGGAUCAGGGUGUCCCAGUGGUGCAGCCGCUACUAAAGGUUCGUUUGUUCAACGAUUAAAACCCUACGUGAUCUGAGUUCAGACCGGAGCAAUCCAGGUCAGUUUCUAUCUAUAAAGGGCUUCUUCUAGUACGAAAGGACCAAAAAAGCAUGGCCUAUACCUCGAGCAAGCCAUAGCGGGUAAUUUGUGAUUCAAACUUAACAGACAACUCACCUUCUACUAACCUCAAAACAAGAGAA